GACGUAGGGCGCGAGCGUUGUCCGGAUUUAUUGGGCGUAAAGAGCUCGUAGGCGGUCUGUCGCGUCUGCUGUGAAAACCCGAGGCUCAACCUCGGGCCUGCAGUGGGUACGGGCAAACUAGAGUGCGGUAGGGGAGAUUGGAAUUCCUGGUGUAGCGGUGGAAUGCGCAGAUAUCAGGAGGAACACCGAUGGCGAAGGCAGAUCUCUGGGCCGUAACUGACGCUGAGGAGCGAAAGCAUGGGGAGCGAACAGG
RNAcentral lists this ribosomal RNA (253 nucleotides) under uncultured bacterium. Its description in RNAcentral is "partial 16S ribosomal RNA". It matches the Rfam family "Bacterial small subunit ribosomal RNA", at positions 524 to 776 of the family's 1533-position model. The record is from RNAcentral.